CACUGAUAGCCUUCUAACAGUACCAUGAGACAUCAUUCUAGGGUGUAGUUAUUUCACUAUCAUAUGAAUUGAGGAUUACUAAUAGAAAAGUCCCAUUCUUGUUGCUAGUGUUUGAGUCUAAUGUUUCAUCUUCAGUCCUAAUAAUUCACUGUUCCUGAUGCUGAGUAUUUGGCAAGUAUUUGACAAAUCCUGGUUGAUUCCUGAAAACCUGAGAUGGAAGAUUGUGAUUUCAGUUGUGUAAAUUUAAGGGACCAAGCACCCACACAGACUGCUAAAUGAUUGGUAAUUGCAGGUAACAUAGGUAACCUAACAUUAAUUAGCUUAAAAGAUAUCUGUAUACUCUGCAGGUUUUCCUCCAUUUAUGAGAUGGUUACACCCCAGUAGUGAAUAUCGUACUGGAUAUCGCUGGCCCAGGUCAGCCUUGAUUACCUAUAUAAGUCCUGCCUGCCAUCAUGGGAUCUGUAAAGAGGUAAGAUUUGUCCUAAGAGUAUACUGAAGCAUUAUGUUCUGUGCUCAACAUCACUGGUAACAGACACCAUCCCAGUAACGUCAAAAAAUGUUAAUGACUCAGUGCCCAAAUGGGCAAUUCCAAG
Molecule: long non-coding RNA, 593 nt
Organism: Bos taurus (domestic cattle)
Lineage: Eukaryota; Metazoa; Chordata; Mammalia; Artiodactyla; Bovidae
Source: Ensembl